GGGCGCUUAACUCAGCCCGGUAGAGUGCCAUCUUCACACGGUGGAAGUCAUAGGUUCAAAUCCUAUAGCGCCCACCA
RNAcentral lists this transfer RNA (77 nucleotides) under Terriglobia bacterium. Its description in RNAcentral is "tRNA-Val". It matches the Rfam family "tRNA". Rfam says of the family: Transfer RNA (tRNA) molecules are approximately 80 nucleotides in length. Their secondary structure includes four short double-helical elements and three loops (D, anti-codon, and T loops). The record is from RNAcentral. Lineage: Bacteria; Pseudomonadati; Acidobacteriota; Terriglobia.